UUGGAGAAUAGAACUCACUUGCUCAGUUAGGAAGACCUUUUUGGGCACAUGUGUCCUAGAUUUUCGCUUUUGUGUACAAAGGUCUUUGAGAAAUUUGGCAUAGGAGGGAACUUGUCUAAUAGCAUCAAGAAGCGGAAGGAUGAUUUUCACUUGUUUGAAAACCUCCAUCAUUUCCUCUAGUGAAGUUCCUUUUUUGCCAAAGGGAGAGGGUGAAUUAAGAGCUUCAGAAAAUGGGGCCUUUGGGAUAUGAGUU
This 253-nucleotide long non-coding RNA is filed under the name Phoenix dactylifera (date palm). Its description in RNAcentral is "long non-coding RNA (PDAC_LNC012984)". The record is from RNAcentral. Lineage: Eukaryota; Viridiplantae; Streptophyta; Magnoliopsida; Arecales; Arecaceae.